GUGGUCAAGCUACUAAGGGCGCACGGGGGAUGUCUUGGCAUUGGAAGGCGAUGAAGGGCGUGGAAGUCUGCGAAAAGCCCGGGGGAGUUGACAAACGAGCGUUGAUCCUGGGAUCCCUGAAUUGUUCCUGCACUGAAUACAUAGGUGCGUGGAGGCGAACCUGGUGAACUGAAACAUCUAAGUAACCAGAGGAAAAGAAAGAAAAAUCCAUUCCGUCAGUAGCGGCGAGCGAAAUCGGAAUAGCCCAAACCUCGGGGGUUUUCCCCUGGGGGGUUGUAGGACUCUCAAUAUGGGAAGCAGUUAGGUAGUAGAACGGCUUGGAAAGGUCGAUCACAGAGGGUGACAGUCCCGUAUACGACACCAGAGCUGAUACCAGAGAGCACCUGAGUAGGUCGGGUCACGUGGAACCCCGACUGAAUCUACGGGGACCAUCCCGUAAGGCUAAAUACUCUCCAAUGACCGAUAGCGAACUCAGUAGCGUGAGUGAAAGAUGAGAAGAACCCCUGCUAGGGGAGGAAUGUGAACCUGAAACCGUGUGCCUACAAGCGGUCGGAGCCCUAUGAUUCGUUCAGGGUGACGGCGUGCCUUUUGCAUAAUGAUCCGGCGAGUUACGUUUAGCGGCGUGGUUAAGUCCUUACGGGACGAAGCCCCAGGGAAACCGAGUGUUAAUAGCGCGAUAUUGUCGUUGGAUGUAGACGCGAAACCUGAGUGAUCUACCCAUGAGCAGGUUGAAGCGCGGGUUAAACUGCGUGGAGGACCGAACCCACUUGGGUUGAAAACCGAGGGGAUGACUUGUGGGGAGGACUGAAAGUGUAAUCAAACCAGGAGAUAGCUCGUUCUCUCCGAAAUAGCUUUAGGGCUAGCCUUGUGCCACUACAACACGGGGGUAGAGAUACUGAAUCGGAUGGGGGCCCUUUCCGGGGUACCCCACUGAACCAAACUCCGAAUACCGUGUUGACUAUCACAGGAGUCAGUCUGCGUGGGAUAAGCUGCGUGGUCGAGAGGGAAACAACCCAGAUCGUCGGCUAAGGGCCCGAAGUCAUGCUUAGUCACUAAGGAAGUUGAAUUGCCGAGACAGCCAGGAUGUUGGCUUAGAAGCAGCCACCAUUUAAAAAGUGCGUAACAGCUUACUGGUCGAGCAGUUCUGCGCCCAUAAUGAACGGGAGUAAGUAUGACCCCGAAGCCGCGGGUUCGAUGAUUCUUCGGAUGAUUCGAGCGGUAGGAGAGCGCUGUACAUCAGAUACGAGUCGGACCGAAAGGACCGAUGUUGGGGUGUACAGGUGAUUAUGCCGGAAUGAGUAACGAUAAAACAGGUGAGAAUCCUGUUCGCCGAAAGCCUAAGGUUUCCUGGGGAAGGCAAUUCCGCCCAGGGUUAGCCGGUGCCUUAGUCGAGGCCGAAAGGCGUAGACGAUGGACAGCAGGUUAAUAUUCCUGCGCUACCUCUGCCCUAUACCGAUGGAGGGACGGCGUCCGAAAAGUGAGCGGUACGAAUAGAAAUGUCCGUGCAGCAGACUGAGAUGGUGGGAUAGGAAAAUCCGCCCGCGUAAUUCAAGGUCUGAGGCCGAGAGCGUUUAAGUUCUCGAAGUCAUUGGAAGGACGUCCAAGAAAAGCUUCUAGGUGGGUACGUAACCGUACUAAAACUGACACAGGUAGGCGAGACGAGUAGUCUAAGGCGCUCGGGAGAACGGUGGUUAAGGAACUCUGCAAAAUGGCCCCGUAAGUUCGCGAUAAGGGGUGCCCCUGGUGGUUCACGCUGCUGGGGGCCACAGUAAAUCGGCUCCUGCGACUGUUUAUCAAAAACACAGGUCUCUGCUAACACGUAAGUGGAUGUAUAGAGACUGACGCCUGCCCGGUGCCGGUAGGUUAAGGAAGGCGGUUAUCCCUUCGGGGAGAAGCUGGCGACCGAAGCCCCGGUAAACGGCGGCCGUAACUAUGACGGUCCUAAGGUUAACAUUCGUGUUACGCUCAAUACGCUAGCCUUAGUAAAACUUGGCUAUAUGCUGGAAACUCUGAGUAUCCGACGGUACUUGCUUCGGCAAGUGACAAUCUGAUCGGUGCAGACAAUCAGCAGGAAAGGCUGAGCAACUCUUUGCUCAGAAUCCUCAGAGACUAUACGCCAGGCAAUCGAGUUUUUGCGAUUGAAGAGAUAGUCCGAGCUGCAUGGCGACAUGCAGAGGUUGGCAGAAAUGACCAACCCUCGCUCAAGCACUAAGCUAACAGCCACUCGCUGAAGGCUGACCGCUUGUUCCGAGUAACAACACUGAGCGAAGUUCCUUGUCGGGUAAGUUCCGACCUGCAUGAAAGGCGUAAUGACAGGAGCACUGUCUCAACCACCGACCCGGUGAAAUUGUAGUUGUGGUGAAGAUGCCACAUACCCGCGGUUAGACGGAAAGACCCCGUGAACCUUUACUGCAGGCUGAUAUUGGGCUGAGGUAUAUGAUGUGUAGGAUAGGUGGGAGGCUUUGAACCGGCGACGCCAGUCGUUGGGGAGCCAACCUUGAAAUACCACCCUUGAUGUGCUUUAGUUCUAACGUUGAUUCCGUGAAUCCGGACAACGGACAGUGUCAGUUGGGCAGUUUGACUGGGGCGGUCUCCUCCCAAAGAGUAACGGAGGAGCACGAAGGUUGACUAAGUACGGUCGGACAUCGUACGGUUAGUGUAAUGGUAGAAGCCAGCUUAACUGC
Molecule: ribosomal RNA, 2684 nt
Filed under: Planctomycetaceae bacterium
Lineage: Bacteria; Pseudomonadati; Planctomycetota; Planctomycetia; Planctomycetales; Planctomycetaceae
Description: bacterial LSU rRNA
Rfam family: Bacterial large subunit ribosomal RNA
Source: RNAcentral